CUGUCGAUAUUACAGCAUGUGUACUGCCGUUGUAAGCAUACCUUUAAAAGAAUAAGUAUGCCACUAUGGUUAAUAAAUUGCCCACAUACAUCAGGUCAAAGUGCAGCUAAUAAGAAGGUGAUGAUGGGUUACAACCCUAAAACAGAAUAUCAACUAAGAAAUAAAAAAUCUUACGAAAGUGGACUUGGCCGUAAUCAAUUUACAAGUUAAAAAAAUGAAUAGAUAUCUAAGACAUGCACACAUCGCCCGUCACUCUAUCCUAAAGGUUAGAUAAGUCGUAACAAAGUAGGUGUAAUGGAAAUUGCACCUGUCGAAGUAUAGCAUAUAGAAUGCUUUUUACUUACACUAAAAAUAAAGUUAACUACUUGCUUCGCCCACACAUAGAUAUCUUAUAAAUAAAAAAUAAUAGAAACAACUUAACAAUGAAAAUAAUCAACAAAUAAAGUACAGAAGUGGAAAAAUUAAUUAAUAAAAGUAAAUCUUAACAAAUAUACCUUGUGCAUUAUGGUUUUACAAGAAAAAAAUUAAAAACAUUAAUCCCGAAUUCUAAACGAGAUGUUAAACUGCUGUUAUGAACCCACUAAUAACUGUAGAACAAGUUUUAAAAGACAGAUUAACAGAGGCUACAUACCAUUCGCGCAAGAAUAUAGCUGGUUUUUAACAAACAUUAUACAUUAAAACAUAUAAAUCUAUUAUAGUGUAAAAUUAUUGAGGAUAAGCCCGAUAAUUAAAGCAAUAAUUUAAAUAAAUCUAUAUAACCUCAUAGGCCUAAAAUCAGCCAACCAAAAUACUUUAUCGUAUAAAUAAAAGAUAAAAUCUAUAUAAUAGAAUGCCUUAGAUAGUUAAAAUAAUGGAAAAACACACUAACUCCAAAUAUAAUAUGUAAAAAUAAGUAUUAUUAUAACUAAAACAAACAGUCCAAAUAAAAACCAUUAUAUAAAAUAGUAAUAAUUAAUUAAGGAACUAGGCAAAUCAUUAUUUCGACUGUUUAACAAAAACAUUGUCUCAUGAAGUAAAAUAUGAGAUA
RNAcentral lists this ribosomal RNA (1027 nucleotides) under Megascolecidae sp. 2011-06. Its description in RNAcentral is "partial 12S ribosomal RNA". The stretch from base 1 to 321 matches the Rfam family "Archaeal small subunit ribosomal RNA", at positions 972 to 1478 of the family's 1478-position model. Lineage: Eukaryota; Metazoa; Annelida; Clitellata; Crassiclitellata; Megascolecidae. The record is from RNAcentral.